RNAcentral lists this transfer RNA (57 nucleotides) under Radopholus similis. RNAcentral's name for it is "transfer RNA-Ile". The record is from RNAcentral. Lineage: Eukaryota; Metazoa; Nematoda; Chromadorea; Rhabditida; Pratylenchidae.
CCAAUUUAUUAUAAUUUUUUUUAUUAUUUUGAUUUGAUUAGUCAAAGAUUAUUUGGU